CUUGCGCAUCGUAAGUAGGUGGACUGCGGAGGAACAUUAACGAAUUGUAAUGGGGGUUUGAUGCUGGCAAGCCUACCUUUUGGCUGCAUGUGCUCGCCCUCCAACAAUCUUUAUUCGCACACACCUGUGCAUCUUCUGAGGGUUUUCGAUUAAAGAGAUUGCUGUCUGGUAAUCUUUCUUAGAAUUCCCUCUUUACAUACACUGAUUAUAACGAUGAACGUGAUCGUGCCAAUAUGGCCGUAAUUAAUACAACUUUUAACAACGGAUCUCUUGGCUCUCGCAUCGAUGAAGAACGCAGCGAAAUGCGAUAAGUAAUGUGAAUUGCAGAAUUCAGUGAAUCAUCGAAUCUUUGAACGCAUCUUGCGCUCCCUGGUAUUCCGGGGAGCACGCCUGUUCGAGUGUCGUGAAAUUCUCAAGAUGUGGAUGCUUUUUUGUUAAAGUGUUCUCAGCUUGGUUAUUGGGCUUUGCCGUGUCCCCUUUGGGGUGACGGCUGGCCUUAAAAGCAUUAGCUGAUCCUUAUGAUGGCAUUGGUUCUACUCAGCGUGAUAAUAAUCUGACCGCCGAGGACAUCCUUCGGGGUGGCCAAUUCUCAUUUGGAUUGCUCUCUAAUCUGGUUGGUGGGUUGCUAAUAACAAUCUGUUCCAUUUUCAAUUUUGACCUCGAAUCAGGUGGGACUACCCGCUGAACUUAAGCAUAUCAA
This 700-nucleotide ribosomal RNA is filed under the name uncultured Clavulina. RNAcentral describes it as "eukaryotic LSU rRNA". The stretch from base 251 to 404 matches the Rfam family "5.8S ribosomal RNA". Lineage: Eukaryota; Fungi; Basidiomycota; Agaricomycetes; Cantharellales; Hydnaceae. The record is from RNAcentral.